UGGGUAAGGACAUAAAUUGGGAGCCAUUGAACAGUGAUGAACUAAAGGCAUUGGCUUUAUUUGUGAUAUCAAAUACAACUUCUAACAUUCUGAAGCUACUGCAUAAGAUUCACGUAUUUUGAUAUUUUGACUAUAAUCCUUACAGGGUAUUUGGUACGAGGUUAACUUACUUUGUAACUUUUAACCCUUCGUUACAUUACGGUUAUUUGGACACUACUUGGGAGACUAGGUUAACUUUUUGCUUCAUUAUGCAUUUUUAGUUAAAUAUUAACCUUGGGGCUAGUUUAAUAAUUACCUUUUUAAAAUAUAAUAUUUAAUCCUUGAUUUUUUAACUUUUUAUCAAACACACACACCCUUAGGAUUAAAAGUCUAGCCCUAAAUAUUUUGAAUUUUUUCCCUCCUAGUAUUGAAUAUUUUGAAGCUCAAAACCAUACUCUCAGUAAAGACAACUGAAUAAUUUUAAUGAG
RNAcentral lists this unclassified non-coding RNA (467 nucleotides) under Hevea brasiliensis (rubber tree). Lineage: Eukaryota; Viridiplantae; Streptophyta; Magnoliopsida; Malpighiales; Euphorbiaceae. The record is from RNAcentral.